Engraulis encrasicolus (European anchovy) is the source of this 636-nucleotide long non-coding RNA. RefSeq lists it as uncharacterized. The transcript has 5 exons. The record is from RefSeq and is a predicted model, not a curated record. NCBI's taxonomy places the organism in Eukaryota, Metazoa, Chordata, Actinopteri, Clupeiformes, Engraulidae.
UGGAAAUGAUUGCGCUUGCAAUGAUGUCAUUUCCUUGCGGAUGCCUGUAGCAGUUGACAGCCAAGUUGUUGACAAUUUGCUUCCACGGUGAAAUUGUUCUCUCCUUGUCCUUAUUGGUGUCGCAGGGGAAAAGAAAGUAUUUCAACGGAGUGCAUGGGACGUGAUGCAGCUCAACACAGAUUGUAAUGGAGGACGAUGCUAAGGAGAGGAGGAUGGAACAUGCUGACAGUCACGGUGUGCGGCCUCACCAUGGAAAAUUACAUUAAAAGUUCCUGCUGAAUGGGCCAUGCUAAACGUACAGCUCAGCUACAGCACGACGAUGAACAGCCACAUUACAGGUGUAACUAAAGAACCAAUGUGACCGCAACAAAGAGCUGCACCGUGGAUUGCUUGGCCCAAAGCCUAUUCAGCUGCUGACAGCCUUGGCUGGACCCUGGACAAUGUCAUUCAUCUUCCACUCCCCCCCCCAAAACUUAUGCAUCACGAUUCAAUGCGCAUCACGAUACACAUGCCACAAUGCCAUACGAUCUCGAUGCAUUGCGAUACAUGUAUUCUUGCAAUGCAUUGUGAUAUUUACUUAAUUCAUUUUUUUACCUUUACCAACAUUAUACAAUAAAAAUAAAAACCAUGAUAGUU